RNAcentral lists this unclassified non-coding RNA (229 nucleotides) under fungal sp. RNAcentral's name for it is "partial internal transcribed spacer region". The stretch from base 1 to 46 matches the Rfam family "Eukaryotic small subunit ribosomal RNA", at positions 1786 to 1831 of the family's 1831-position model. The record is from RNAcentral. Lineage: Eukaryota; Fungi.
AAGUCGUAACAAGGUUUCCGUAGGUGAACCUGCGGAAGGAUCAUUAACACGUAUCCACGUAUCAACCCCUCUGCGCAACACGUUAAACGUAAGGUUGGUCUUAGUCUGGCAACUCGCAUAGACCUCAACGAUGGAGGACUUUUUUGUUGAAGCGGUUCCGGCCGCCGAGACUUGGGGGUCCUGAGGUCUGAGUUGUUGGGUGUUUGACGACUGGCCGCUAUUUUCCCAU